RNAcentral lists this microRNA precursor (186 nucleotides) under Oryza brachyantha (malo sina). Its description in RNAcentral is "MIR812 microRNA precursor family". It matches the Rfam family "MIR812 microRNA precursor family". Lineage: Eukaryota; Viridiplantae; Streptophyta; Magnoliopsida; Poales; Poaceae. The record is from Rfam by way of RNAcentral.
AAUAAAUCAAUUUUUCACUUUUUAUCUAUAAUUUUUGACUCUUCGUCUUAUUCAAAUUUUUUUACGAUUGAUAUUUUGUUUUUAUUAGACGAUAAAUUAUGAAUAAUGCUUUACGUGUGACUAUUUUUUUUAAUUUUCUAAAAAUUUUUAAAUAAGACGGAUGGUCAAACGUUGGACAAGGAAACC